AAGGAUGGGUAAGGUAUCAAAAUUGCUGCUGUUUACUUGGGACCAGUUUCUUUUUGUCAGCAGCACAACCAGUCUUCCUAGUUACCAUGUACUUGUGUCAACAAGUACAUCUAGUUGCUGAGCUAACAAUUCUUUAUUUUGUUUUUCAACUAACACCAUAUCAUUAAUAUUUUGUACGUGAAUCUUGCAGUAGCUCAGUUUGUAUAGCUUAUCGCAGACCAAGAAGGAAGAUUUCUAUACAGCUCCAAGUGAGUGACCUUGAAAGCUUCUGUCUGCUUGAACAGUGCAAACUGAAACUGCAGGAGCUGGUUUGACCACUACAGAGCAGUUUUCUAACCAAUAAAAGGUUCUGCUACA
Molecule: long non-coding RNA, 357 nt
Organism: Strigops habroptila (Kakapo)
Lineage: Eukaryota; Metazoa; Chordata; Aves; Psittaciformes; Psittacidae
Exons: 2
Source: RefSeq, a predicted model, not a curated record